RNAcentral lists this transfer RNA (68 nucleotides) under Anelytra multicurvata. RNAcentral describes it as "tRNA-Asp". The record is from RNAcentral. Lineage: Eukaryota; Metazoa; Arthropoda; Insecta; Orthoptera; Tettigoniidae.
AAGAAAUUAGUUAAAUAAUAACAUUAAUAUGUCAUAUUGAAAUUAUUAACUUACAUUAAUAUUUCUUU